RNAcentral lists this ribosomal RNA (2203 nucleotides) under Superstratomyces flavomucosus. RNAcentral's name for it is "partial 18S ribosomal RNA". It matches the Rfam family "Eukaryotic small subunit ribosomal RNA". Lineage: Eukaryota; Fungi; Ascomycota; Dothideomycetes; Superstratomycetales; Superstratomycetaceae. The record is from RNAcentral.
GCAGUAUAGCAUCUUACUGUGAACUGCGAAUGGCUCAUUAAAUCAGUUAUAGCCCAUUCAGAACUUGACCGUACACGGAUACCUGUGGAAAAUCUAGAGCUAAUACGUGCCGAAAAGCCCUCUGGGUGCACUCAUUAGCAUUAACCGACAAACGUUGGUGAAUCAAGAUGAUUCCGCGAAUCGCAUGGCCUUGUGCCGGCGAUGGUCUGUUCGGGUUUCUGCCCUAUCAACUUUCAAUCGUAGCGUAUUGGGCUACGAUGGUUGCAACGGGUAACGGAGGAUUAGGGUUCGAUCCCGGAGAGGGAGCCUGAGAAACGGCUACCACAUCCAAGGAAGGCAGCAGGCGCGCAAAUUACCCAAUGCCGACUCGGCGAGGUAGUGACAAUAAAUAGCGAUGCGGGGCCCUAUGGGUCUCGCAAUUGCAAUGAGGGCGCUCCAAAAACGCCACCGAGGAACCACUGGAGGGCAAGUCUGGUGCCAGCAGCCGCGGUAAUUCCAGCUCCAGUAGCGUAUAUUAAAGUUGUUGCAGUUAAAAAGCUCGUAGUUGGAUCUCGGGCACGGCCAGCCGGUCCGCCUCACGGCGUGCACUGGCGCGGCUGUGCCUUUCCCUCCGCGAACCCCAUGCCCUUCACUGGGCGUGGGUCCUAGCGGGGGCUUUCACUUUGAAAAAAUUAGAGUGUUCAAAGCAGGCCUAUGCUCGAAUACUUCAGCAUAGAAUGAUGGAAUAGGACGCGCGGUCCGUUCCUGUCGGUUUCCGUACCGCCGUAAUGAUUAAAAAGAACGAUCGGGGCCGUUAGUAUUCCGUGGCGAGAGGUGAAAUUCUUGGACCCUCGGAAGACUUCCAACUGCGAAAGCAUUCGGCAAGGGCGUUUUUAUUAAUCAGUGAACGAAAGUCAGGGGAUCGAAGACGAUCAGGUAGGCUUUACCCCCCAAACUCUUCAGCGCAAGCAGCCGCUAACAUCAUCCGCAGAUACCGUCGUAGUCCUGACCAUAAACGAUGCCGGCUAGGGAUCGGGCGGUGUUGCAAUUUAUGACCCGCUCGGCACCUUACGAGAAAUCAAAGCUCUUGGGUUCUGGGUAAGCUACCUCACCGUAUUACACGCCGAUGAGCCACCGCUAACAUGAUUAUAGGGGGAGUAUGGUCGCAAGGCUGAAACUUAAAGAAAUUGACGGAAGGGCACCACCAGGCGUUAAACAGCCAGCAGCUCUGCGCCGGACAGCAGCCCGUAAGGGUGAGGUGGUCGCCUGAUGAAAUGCUAGUCCGCCCCCGAGCGGGGCGGGCGACACGCUCAAACUGCGGGGACCCCCUAAAGCUCCAGGUACCAAGUCGCCGCCGAAAGGCGACGAUGGCCGGGUUAACAGCCCCGGGUAUGGUGACAGCCCUGGUGAUGCUACAAUGGGCGAUCCGCAUCCAAGCCCCUGAUGGCCGCCGCCGCGGUACGGGGAAGGUUCAGAGACUAGACGGGCGUGGGUCCUCUCGAGGGCUUAAGAUAUAGUACCAGCCCCCGGCGAGAGCCGGGUGGGAAUCGGCAUCCAAACUGGGAGCCUGCGGCUUAAUUUGACUCAACACGGGGCAACUCACCGGGUCCGGACAUGCGAAGGAUUGACAGAUUGAAAGCUCUUUCUUGAUUGUAUGGGUGGUGGUGCAUGGCCGUUCCUAGUUGGUGGUAUGAAUUGUCUGCUUAAUUGCGAUAACGAACGAGACCAUCACCUGCUAAAUAGCCAGGCCCGCUUUUGCGGACCGCCGGCUUCUUAGAGGGACUAUCGGCUUAAGCCGAUGGAAGUUGGUGGCUAUAACAGGUGAGUCGACGCCCGAAACCCCCCCGCCGAACGAAAUAUACUAACAGCAGCUCUAAGGUCUGUGAUGCCCUUAGAUGUUCCGGGCCGCGUAAGUUCACCCCAAACCCCCAAAUAUUCAGGGGACCAACCGCUAACAUCAUCGCAGACGCGCGCUACACUGACAGUCACAACGGGUUCUUCCUUCCCCGAGAGGGGUGGGUAAUCCUGGAACGACUGUCGUGCUGGGGAUCGUGCUUUGCAACUAUGGCACUUCAACGAGGAAUGCCUAGUAAGCGUGCGUCAUCAGCGUGCGCUGAUUACGUCCCUGCCCUUUGUACACACCGCCCGUCGCUACUACCGAUUGAGCCAUUUCGUGAGGCUUUCGGACCGGCUGAGGGAGGUGGGCGACUACCACCCACGGCCG